Molecule: long non-coding RNA, 2012 nt
Filed under: Olea europaea (common olive)
Lineage: Eukaryota; Viridiplantae; Streptophyta; Magnoliopsida; Lamiales; Oleaceae
Description: long non-coding RNA (OEUR_LNC000685)
Source: RNAcentral
UUCAGUUUAUAGCCUCACGCACUAAAUUUCCUAUCCGACUUAAGUAUCGGAGGGGCGACGAGCACACACCUCGUUGCCUUUGUUGCAGGUAAUCACAAAUCGACCGUAUUCAUCAAAGUGAAGUUGGACAAUCAAGUUCGAGAUCUUUCAGGUGACAUUUUUUGGUAGCAUCAGAUAUAAUUUUUAAUUUGAAAAAUGUUGAAAUUUGUAUCUUUAGGUGUUCAUUUGACUCUAUUUUUCAUAAAAAUUAUCAAUUAUAAGGAUCUAAUUUGUUACAAUUGUGGAUAAAAUUUAUUUUCAUUGCCAAAAAUAAAAUAAAAAAAAGAUGGAAAACACUUUCCCACCUCAACCAAAGGAAAACAAUUUCCUUGAAAACCAAGAAAAUGGGUCGCGUGGGGGGUAGGGUGGAAAUUAAAUUCCAUGAAAAAUGUUGUCCAUCAAUGAUUUCGAUUUUCAAUGGAAUUGACUUGUAUGAAACAUGCCCUUAUUAUUUUGUUACCUCCCAUCACAGUCUAAAUAAUAAUUUUAUUCCUACAAGCCUGUAAAUUUUAUCUGCGAUCAAAUGAACCUUUGGCAAAAUUUUAAUUGAGCCACUAAUUUGAUCUAUCAACUCCACCUUAAUUUCAAAUUUCACCUUCCGUCACGUGUUCUCAACUCAAAAAGAUGAAAAUUGAUAAAUUAUAAAUUAGGAUUCAUAAUGCAACAAAUCUUUCACAUUAUCUCAAUGUAAAAUGUCAACUUAUCAUUAUAUAAACAAUGUAAUUAUUGUUGGAAAUUUGUAUGUGAAAUUGGUUUUGACUAAUUCCUAAUCAUUUAAGUGAGAAUUGUUAUUUUGUGAAUGAAAAAUUAAGUCAAAUUUGAAUCACAUAAAUAUUGCGAAUUGUUGGAAAAUUAAGUCAAAUAUUGUGGAAUAUUUUAUAAAAUUAUUUGAAUUAAAAGAUGUGUAUUUUAUAUGAAAGAUUAUGACAUUAUUAUUUUUUAAAUGAUGAGUCUAUUCAAAUAUAUAGACUAAUUUUAAUAGUUGUGUCUCUUCCAUAGAUUGUGAUUUUUGAAACAAAAUUUUUCAACAUCUAUAUAUAGAUCACACAUGUUUGUUUUCACUCAUUCGCUUUAUGAUUGUAUUAUCAUAUCAAUGUAUAUUCAUUUCAAAAUUCUGCAUAUAUUCAAAGUUAAUUUUCAUAUAAAGAGGGUUCAAAAAAUAUAAGUUCGUUGAUCUACGAAAUUUGGAGUGCUCCUAUUAGAGAUUUAGUCUUGCGGGGCAUCAUCGUCUUAAGUAAAAAGAGUUGAACUCUUACUUCGACCAAAAUUCAUAUUCAUGCAUCUCUCAUUGUACUUUACGUAUUAGAUUUUGAUAAGUCGAAUUUUUGUUCGAUAUUUAUGCACGUAAAAUGAAUGUUAUUUGAAUAUAAUUUAUAUACGUAUAUUUUUUUUCCAACAUUUUGAUACCUUUAAUUCAUCAUCUUUGUUCCUAGGGUGCACGUAUGGGAUGGCAACAAGUUCGGACAACUUCCAAGCUCGCAAGUUAGCUCAUCAAAAUUCAAGCUUGAGGUGCUCAUGGCUCAUUCUGUACAAGCCUUGACCUAGGUUGAUCUCAAAUUCCGGCCUAGUGAACCUAGGCCCAUGGGUUCAGGAGUCAGUGACGACUGGACUUGUUUCUCAGCUAACACAUUAUCUUAAGUUUGAUUUUUUAAUUAGAAAAUCCAUUUGUACAGAAAUGAAUUUUACAGAAACAAUAAAGAAAUUUCACAUAAGGUGAGCCUCAUAUGAAUAAAAUAGUGCAAACCCUCCCCUCCUCUCGCCUUGUGUCCUAUUUGGAGAGGUUCUGUAAUCCCUCUUUCUGUACAUGAAGUCUCGUCAUUAGAUUUUCUUAAAAAUAUUCAACCAAGUUGGCCCAUCAUGAGAUUGAGGCAGAAGUGCCAAUCGGGUAACAACAUAGUUUUUGUCAAUUUGGGAAGAGAUGUGUUAUAUAUGGUAACAAAAUAUUAAAAAUUUGAAAUUAAAUUGAAGUUAAG